UAGGGAAUCUUCCACAAUGGACGCAAGUCUGAUGGAGCAACGCCGCGUGAGUGAAGAAGGUUUUCGGACCGUAAAGCUCUGUUGUUGGUGAAGAAGGAUAGAGGUAGUAACUGGCCUUUAUUUGACGGUAAUCAACCAGAAAGUCACGGCUAACUACGUGCCAGCAGCCGCGGUAAUACGUAGGUGGCAAGCGUUGUCCGGAUUUAUUGGGCGUAAAGCGAGCGCAGGCGGAAGAAUAAGUCUGAUGUGAAAGCCCUCGGCUUAACCGAGGAAUUGCAUCGGAAACUGUUUUUCUUGAGUGCAGAAGAGGAGAGUAGAACUCCAUGUGUAGCGGUGGAAUGCGUAGAUAUAUGGAAGAAUACCAGUGGCGAAGGCGGCUCUCUGGUCUGCAAACUGACGCUGAGGCUCGAAAAGCAUGGGUAGCGAACAGGAUUAGAUACCCUGGUAGUCCAUGCCGUAAAACGAUGAGUGCUAAGUGUUGGGAGGCUUCCGCCUCUCAGUGCUGCAGCUAACGCAUUAAGCACUCCGCCUGGGGGAGUACGACCGCAAGGUUG
Molecule: ribosomal RNA, 554 nt
Filed under: uncultured bacterium
Lineage: Bacteria
Description: partial 16S ribosomal RNA
Rfam family: Bacterial small subunit ribosomal RNA
Source: RNAcentral